RNAcentral lists this ribosomal RNA (468 nucleotides) under uncultured bacterium. Its description in RNAcentral is "partial 16S ribosomal RNA". It matches the Rfam family "Bacterial small subunit ribosomal RNA", at positions 28 to 507 of the family's 1533-position model. The record is from RNAcentral.
GACGAACGCUGGCGGCGUGCUUAACACAUGCAAGUCGAACGGAAAGGCCCUGCUUUUGUGGGGUGCUCGAGUGGCGAACGGGUGAGUAACACGUGAGUAACCUGCCCUUGACUUUGGGAUAACUUCAGGAAACUGGGGCUAAUACUGGAUAGGAGCUCCUGCUGCAUGGUGGGGGUUGGAAAGUUUCGGCGGUUGGGGAUGGACUCGCGGCUUAUCAGCUUGUUGGUGGGGUAGUGGCUUACCAAGGCUUUGACGGGUAGCCGGCCUGAGAGGGUGACCGGCCACAUUGGGACUGAGAUACGGCCCAGACUCCUACGGGAGGCAGCAGUGGGGAAGAUUGCACAAUGGGCGGAAGCCUGAUGCAGCAACGCAGCGUGCGGGAUGACGGCCUUCGGGUUGUAAACCGCUUUCGCCUGUGACGAAGCGUGAGUGACGGUAAUGGGUAAAGAAGCACCGGCUAACUACGUG